UCAGACGAUGCGUCAUGCAUAUCAAUAAGCGGAGGAAAAGAAACUAACAAGGAUUCCCUCAGUAACGGCGAGUGAAGCGGGAAGAGCUCAAAUUUGAAAUCUUGAAAGGUCACCUUUCACGAAUUGUAGUUUAAGGAAGUGUUUUCUGUUACGAUCGUAAUAUAAGUUCUUUGGAAUAGGACAUCACAGAGGGUGAGAAUCCCGUCUAUGAUUGCGAUUUGUAGCUUGGUGAUACACUUUCAAAGAGUCGGGUUGUUUGGGAAUGCAGCCCAAAACGGGAGGUAAAUUUCUUCUAAGGCUAAAUAUUGGCGAGAGACCGAUAGCGAACAAGUACCGUGAGGGAAAGAUGAAAAGAACUUUGAAAAGAGAGUUAAAUAGUACGUGAAAUUGUCAAAAGGGAAGCGUUUAACACCAGUGUUGUUUUCUGAAAAUCAACCUCUGUUAGCUUUAUGCAUGUUUGUUUAGACCUAAUCAGCUAUCUUGCAUGUUCUAUUGUUUGCAGUGGUGCACUUUUCAGUUUACAGGUCAACAUCAGUUUUUUUUACCGCAAAAAGUUAAAGAAAGGUAGCUCAUGGCUCCGGUCGUGAGUGUUAUAGUCUUUUUCCUAUGCGGUAGGAGAGACUGAGGUCUGCAGUGUAGGCUAUUUGGCUAGAUACUCAGGUGCUAUGUGAUACCAUUUCAUAAACAACUUGUUGAUUAUGUUUUGUCUAUUGCAUACUCGCUUGUACUAUCAUACCUACGCUUAGGAUGUUGACUGAUAUGUAGUCGU
RNAcentral lists this ribosomal RNA (769 nucleotides) under uncultured Neocallimastigales. RNAcentral's name for it is "partial large subunit ribosomal RNA". It matches the Rfam family "Eukaryotic large subunit ribosomal RNA", at positions 18 to 640 of the family's 3401-position model. The record is from RNAcentral. Lineage: Eukaryota; Fungi; Neocallimastigomycota; Neocallimastigomycetes; Neocallimastigales.